GACGAACGCUGGCGGCGUGCCUAACACAUGCAAGUUGAGCGACGAACCAGGGCUUGCCCUGGGGCAAAGCAGCGAACGGGUGAGUAACACGUGGGUAACCUACCCCGAUAACCGGGACAACCCGAGGAAACUCGGGCUAAUACCGGAUGUGCUCACUGGACUUCGGUUCAGUGCGUAAAGGAAGCUUCGGCCUCCGUAUCGGGAGGGGCCCGCGUCCCAUUAGUUUGUUGGUGAGGUAACGGCUCACCAAGACCGCGAUGGGUAGCUGGUCUGAGAGGACGAUCAGCCACACUGGGACUGAGACACGGCCCAGACUACUGCGGGAGGCAGCAGUGGGGAAUCUUGCGCAAUGGGCGAAAGCGUGACGCAGCAACGCCGCGUGGGGGAAGAAGGCCUUCGGGUUGUAAACCCCUUUCAGGAGGGACGAAGGUUCGGCGGUGAAUAGCCGUCCGGACUGACGGUACCUCCACAAGAAGCCCCGGCUAACUACGUG
RNAcentral lists this ribosomal RNA (493 nucleotides) under uncultured bacterium. Its description in RNAcentral is "partial 16S ribosomal RNA". It matches the Rfam family "Bacterial small subunit ribosomal RNA", at positions 28 to 507 of the family's 1533-position model. The record is from RNAcentral.